UUCCGGUUGAUCCCGCCGGACCUGACUGCUAUCGGAUUGAUACUAAGCCAUGCGAGUCAUUGUAGCAAUACAAGGCAUACGGCUCAGUAACGCGUAGUCAACCUAACCUAUGGACGGGAAUAACCUCGGGAAACUGAGAAUAAUGCCCGAUAGAACACUAUACCUGGAAUGGUUUGUGUUCCAAAUGAUUUAUCGCCAUAGGAUGGGACUGCGGCCUAUCAGUUUGUUGGUGAGGUAAUGGCCCACCAAGACUAUUACAGGUACGGGCUCUGAGAGGAGUAGCCCGGAGAUGGGUACUGAGACACGGACCCAGGCCCUAUGGGGCGCAGCAGGCGAGAAAACUUUGCAAUGUGCGAAAGCACGACAAGGUUAAUCCGAGUGAUUUGUGCUAAACGAAUCUUUUGUUAGUCCUAGAAACACUAACGAAUAAGGGGUGGGCAAGUUCUGGUGUCAGCCGCCGCGGUAAAACCAGCACCUCAAGUGGUCAGGAUGAUUAUUGGGCCUAAAGCAUCCGUAGCCGGCUCUGUAAGUUUUCGGUUAAAUCUGUACGCUUAACGUACAGGCUGCCGGGAAUACUGCAAAGCUAGGGAGUGGGAGAGGUAGACGGUACUCGGUAGGAAGUGGUAAAAUGCUUUGAUCUAUCGAUGACCACCUGUGGCGAAGGCGGUCUACCAGAACACGUCCGACGGUGAGGGAUGAAAGCUGGGGGAGCAAACCGGAUUAGAUACCCGGGUAGUCCCAGCUGUAAACUAUGCAAACUCAGUGAUGCAUUGGCUUGUGGCCAAUGCAGUGCUGCAGGGAAGCCGUUAAGUUUGCCGCCUGGGAAGUACGUACGCAAGUAUGAAACUUAAAGGAAUUGGCGGGGGAGCACCACAAGGGGUGAAGCCUGCGGUUCAAUUGGAGUCAACGCCGGG
RNAcentral lists this ribosomal RNA (914 nucleotides) under uncultured marine archaeon. RNAcentral's name for it is "bacterial SSU rRNA". It matches the Rfam family "Archaeal small subunit ribosomal RNA", at positions 1 to 922 of the family's 1478-position model. The record is from RNAcentral.